Molecule: transfer-messenger RNA, 349 nt
Filed under: Lentibacter algarum
Lineage: Bacteria; Pseudomonadati; Pseudomonadota; Alphaproteobacteria; Rhodobacterales; Roseobacteraceae
Also listed under: 1 other name
Description: alpha proteobacterium ZXM100 Alphaproteobacteria transfer-messenger RNA
Rfam family: Alphaproteobacteria transfer-messenger RNA
About the family: Bacterial tmRNA, also known as 10Sa RNA or SsrA, is named for its dual tRNA and mRNA-like properties. Its role is to liberate the mRNA from a stalled ribosome.
Source: Rfam by way of RNAcentral
UGUCUUGCAAAUCGCUUCUCAAGCUCUAUAUUAGACCUGUCUCCUCGGGGACUAUGAACAUAAACGCGCUUGUAAUAAGCGGAUCGGACCCGGGGGCGGUACCCGGCGUCUCCACCAAACAUCCUUCAUUUGGGGAUCAUGGGGACGAAAUAGGAUCGACGAACGUCUAAAGAGGUUAGCUUUGUUUCGGCUGGGUGCCACCGUAUCGGCCCGAAAUGUACAAUUGCAAAUGACAAUCGUGCUCCAAUGGCGAUGGCCGCGUAAGCGACUGGAACUAUUGAAAUCUAAGUCCUUACGUUUAGCGACCUAAGGCGGGGUUCGCAGGCACCUGGCAACAGAAGCCUGCACU